GAUGAACGCUGGCGGCGUGCCUAAUACAUGCAAGUCGAGCGAACAGACGAGGAGCUUGCUCCUCUGACGUUAGCGGCGGACGGGUGAGUAACACGUGGAUAACCUACCUAUAAGACUGGGAUAACUUCGGGAAACCGGAGCUAAUACCGGAUAAUAUAUUGAACCGCAUGGUUCAAUAGUGAAAGACGGUUUUGCUGUCACUUAUAGAUGGAUCCGCGCCGCAUUAGCUAGUUGGUAAGGUAACGGCUUACCAAGGCAACGAUGCGUAGCCGACCUGAGAGGGUGAUCGGCCACACUGGAACUGAGACACGGUCCAGACUCCUACGGGAGGCAGCAGUAGGGAAUCUUCCGCAAUGGGCGAAAGCUUGACGGAGCAACGCCGCGUGAGUGAUGAAGGUCUUCGGAUCGUAAAACUCUGCUAUUAGGAAAGAACAAAUGUGUAAGUAACUAUGCACGUCUUGACGGUACCUAAUCAGAAAGCCACGGCUAACUACGUG
This 497-nucleotide ribosomal RNA is filed under the name uncultured bacterium. RNAcentral describes it as "partial 16S ribosomal RNA". It matches the Rfam family "Bacterial small subunit ribosomal RNA", at positions 28 to 507 of the family's 1533-position model. The record is from RNAcentral.